AAUAAGACAGGAUGAGAGGAGGAUACGGCUAAAGACAGAGGCUCCAGCUACCUUGGUGACAAGGAAUGGAGGAGAAAAUGAACAGGAAAUUUUAAUAAGAUUACGAGGGCUUGCUUUUCUGCCAAGUGAGUCACAGAUUUAGCGUGAUGUUGAGCCCCGCAGCCUGAUAACAGAGAGUAUAAUGACGAUUAUUGCGUCAAUAAAUUUUUUUUUUGAGAUGGAGACUCACUCUGUCACCCAGGCUGCAGUGCAGUGGUGUGAUCUCAGCUCACUGCAAUCUCUGCCUCCCAGGUUCUAGUGAGUCUCCUGCCUCAGCCUCCCAAGUAGCUGGGACUACAGCCGCUUUCACAGGAGCGAUAAAUUGGAAAUGUUAUCUGGCUUGAUAUGCCAGUUUUUCUGAGAAAAUCACUCUGCCAGUGGUGAGAGAACGGAAGAGCUGAAAACAUCUUCUUUUUUCAAAGUCAUAUGUCACAAACCAAGGAGACUCCAAAAAAUAAAUUAUGGAAGAUUAUGACCACUGCUGCCAAGGAUACAGUGAAAUAGGUACAUCUUGUAUGCCCAGUAAUGUUGAAAAUUAAUAUAACCUUAUUUAAAAAGCAAUUUGGAGAUGUUGAAAGAAAGCCUGAAGACUACCACCAUGCUUCAUGAUUCUAUCCAGGUGUCCCACAUAUGAGAGCCAAUUCC
Molecule: long non-coding RNA, 684 nt
Filed under: Pan troglodytes (chimpanzee)
Lineage: Eukaryota; Metazoa; Chordata; Mammalia; Primates; Hominidae
Description: lincRNA
Source: RNAcentral